Molecule: long non-coding RNA, 1953 nt
Organism: Lathyrus oleraceus (garden pea)
Lineage: Eukaryota; Viridiplantae; Streptophyta; Magnoliopsida; Fabales; Fabaceae
Exons: 2
Source: RefSeq, a predicted model, not a curated record
CUCAUCCGAACUCAACGUGAGAUGAACAGGUUCUUGGCACAACCAUGUUCACACGAUGAAUCUCCCAGGUCCAAAUGUUCAGCACAUGAAACUUCAUCGGGACCACGUACGAAAGACUCGCACAUAGACACCAGAAAAAGGUUCAAGAACUCAAUUCCUCAUAUCCAAAAUCCCAAGUCAAACGCGUUGAAUCUAGGUCGAAACAAACAGGGCAUUCCUUCAUGACACAAGAACUCUGCUUCACCAGGAUUCGAGCUUCACCCUCAAAUGAAGAAUCAAGGAUAAAUCAUCGAAUUGCAAUCAAAACCAAAAUCGAAAUCGCUUAAAGGCUUAUUCUUACGCACAGAAUCAGGGACGAAGUUGAUGAUUGAAAGCAAAGCACUUAUGGAGACGAAGUUCUCGACACGAUGAUUACAGGAUAAACCGAAAAAUGCAGAGUUGAUGUUUUACGGUUAAACCCAAAUCAAAGAGUGAUUCCCAGGUUCUGUGAUGGAAGCAGGUUGUGAUGGAAGGUGGUUAGAAGAGGGGUUGUCGUUGUUGAGAUGUGCGGGGAAGGUUUUUGGAUUAUGAUGAAGGGUGAGGUUGAAUAAGAGGAUUGGUUGGUGGUUGUGGAAGUUAUGGUUCUGAAGAGAGUUGAUGAGGGAUUGGAGGAUGAUGAAGGGUUGUGAAUUGAAGAUGGAGUGAAGUUAGAAGUGGAGGUUGGAGGAAGUGAAUUUGGUUCCCUGUUGUAAUUUAUUUUUCUGUUUUCUUCUAUUCUUCCUUCGUUUUUGUUCUUCUUUUCCCUUCUGUUAUGUGGAUUUGUGGCGGUGAUGGAGUAGUUCAAAGUUUAGGUGAUGUUGGUUCUUGAAGGGGGUGAUGCAGAGUGAAGAAGAUUGUUAUUGAAGAUGGUUAUUGGAGAAAGUUGAAGGUGUUAGCAGGUUGUGAGAUGAUGGAGGAUUGAAGGGUUCGAAUGGACGGUUAUGGAGGGUGGAAGGUUGAGGUUAAGAUGAUGCAUGGUUGGUUAGUUGUUAUGUGUAAAAAGGUGUGAAGGAUGAAGAAGAUAGAAGAGGGUUCUGAAUUGGAAUUCGGUUAUAUGGUUGAGAGUGAGGUCAGGUUCUGAUCAAUGUUGCAGGUUUUUGUGAAGUUGGAGACUCCCUCAUGACAGUUGGUGGAAAAUUCAGUUAUUAUUUUCGGUUAUAACAGUUGGGGAAAUGAAAGUUAGGAGGUGGUUCGGUUCUAUUUUGGAGGAGGGUUCAAUUCAGUUAUAAGUUUGUUAGUUGGUUAGAGUUGAGAUAAUUCGGUUAGAGUUUCGGUCGAGCUUGCAGGUUCUGUUAUAUGUUUCAUCCUUUUCCUUUUGUUUUAAGGAUUCCAAUAUAGGUUCUGAAAAAAGCUUAAAGAUUGUAUGCCGUUUUUGCGGAAUUUUGGUUAUGAGUUUUUAUUCUUAUGAACCUGUUAGAGGUUGGUUUCAAUCUUAUUAAGUUCAUUCACUCUCAUUUGCAGGUUCUAAAAUAUUUUCAUGAGCCACAAGUGGAGCGCCCCUUCCAGGUUUCCAUUAUACACCUGCACUCUUAUGCCUCUGGUAUGCUGAAGCUGAGCAUUAAAAGGCUCAGUUGUGAAACCUGACUGUCUGAAUAAGCUUGAUAAAUGUCUUACAACUAAGUUCAUAUUUUGUUAUAGUCUGUGGCAGUCAGCGUGAGAUUCUGAUGUGGUUUUUGUGGUGAGGUGAUUUAGGUGUGACUCUGGUGGUGAUGGAUGUGUUUGGUGACUGAUAAUGCGAAAGGAAAUGUAUUGGAUUUAUGGUAAUUUAGUAUGUAAUAUGAAAUUGUAAUGGGAAUGUUUGAAAUUGGACUUGAAAUUGUUCAGGUUUUGGAUAUUGAUUGUGUAAUAGGAUUGUGCAUAGAUGGAAUUGGAAAUGAGUGUAAUUUUGAAUAUAUUUGUUUAUGGAAUUAAUAGAAAGUUUGAAGGUUAUAUGUA